Molecule: long non-coding RNA, 2797 nt
Filed under: Marmota monax (woodchuck)
Lineage: Eukaryota; Metazoa; Chordata; Mammalia; Rodentia; Sciuridae
Source: RNAcentral
AAGUUAGGGGCGCCGCGCGCCCCCGCCGGCCUCUUCCCGCCGCCUCGACCCCACAGCCUACUCUCCGCGCCGCCGCCUCACUGGGCCCGGCCCGCGCGUCGCCCCGCAGCCGCCGCGGCCACCAACCCCGGCGCGUCCGCCAUCUUUGUUUUCCCUGCGCGCCCCCCCGCGCCACCGCCCCCUCGUCCUCCCCAUCACGUGGGCUCCAAGCGGGGCCAAUGGGACCGCCGCCUGGAGCUAGACGGCACGGCGCCCAGAGCCAAUGGGUGCACGAAGCGCGUGAGGCCCGCCUCCUGUGGAAGGUGGGCCUGAGGGGCGGGGCCAGGACGACCCGUGGAGGGGCGCGCACCUGAGGUGAGGAAGCCCGCCUAGGGGCGAAAGAACGGCCCCUACACGCGGCAAGUCAGCGGGGUCGGGGGUCUCCCUUCGCCAUCGUGUCCCAACACUCGGGGUUGAAUGUGGCCUGGCUUUCCCGAGUGGAAGGGCACCAACUUUAAAGAGCCCGGCCGACCACCCGUCGUGUAUGGCAUAGGAUAUGCUUCUGCUGGACUCAUCGGAACUGCCCGGGGGAGGGGGCACACUUGGGACCUCUAACCCCCUGCUCUGUUCAACCCGGUUUCCUAUCCCUGGGGUUGGAGGCCGAAGAAGGGUCCACAGAGGAAAGUGAAGGUCUUAGGGAAUAGGAUUUUGCUCGCACAGACUGGAAGGCAAACAGGGAAGGGAGAUGCAUUUCUGCGAAUCGCUGCGGUACAGCCAGCCCUCCCUUGCCCUUACUAACCCAGCCAUCAGCCCGUGAAGGUCACUGCCCCAGAGGGCCACCUGCCAGGCUGGGCAACAAUAUCCGGAAUCUACUAUGUCAAAGGAGAGCAAGGGCUCUGGGGCUAUAUAUUCAAGGCACAGCAGCCCCUCCUGACAAAUGUGCCAGAAGGAGGCCAGACUGAAGGAAGCCCAUGCAUGUUCCAGCACAUCCCCUCUCUUUGUUCAGGGAAAACAGCUGAUGCCCUGGAGGCUUCAGGAAGCUCACCAAAGGCUCCUCAGUCCCUCUCAAGAAUUGGCAAAUUUCAUAUUCCUGUAGAAUUCCUAAGGUUUAUUGGAGAUCAAGUCUCUGAACCCACAACUAUGUCUUUCCCAGAAGGAGGCCCCCAAAAUGCCUGGGACCCUGGCCCUUUCAUUCUGGUCUAGGCAAGUUCCUACAGUGACUGGAGAAGAGACAGCACCUAAGCUCCAUUCCUGAUCAGUCAACCUGCAGCAAGCCCACUGUAGGAGGAGGGAAAGCCUAUUCCUAGGGGAGGAAGCUCCAGGAGCAGGCUGGUGGAAAGGAAGGUGGUAGCCAAGGGAGAAGCUCAGCCUUGCUGUGUGCAACUGUCAUUCCCACUGCAGGCGCUGUGUGUGCAGGGCCCGGCAAUAGGCCCAACUGCCUGCAGCCAGGGCCCAGCGACAGACAUCCUCCUUCGGCAGCAGCAGCAGCCUCUCCUCCUCCAGUCGGCUCAGGAGGCCUGCUACACCUAGCAUGGCACCCCCCCACAUCCCAUAAGUGUUGGCUGUGAAAAUAGCCACAAUGAGGAUGGUCACUGCGACCACCAGCAGUACUGCCUGACCAGCCACAGAGCAGCCUUCAGGGCCAAGGUGAUCACCAGCCACUGCCAGCACCAUGCCUCCGCCCAGGAGUAGGUUAGCAGAGGAGCGGUCCCCGUUCACCCAGUGGAAGUCGAAAGCCAGAAGGGGCAGGCCGAUGACUGUGGUCACCCAGGCUCCAGCGAGACAAUCUUCAUGUGUGCCCAGCCCUGGGACCAGCAUGGAGGCAGCAGCCAAAGCCUGGAGCAGGAAACCAGCAGCAGCCCCUCGACUUGACUGUUAGUGAAGGAAACAAGAGGGUAGGUGACCCCUUUAAACAGGAAAAGGUUUGGACUUCUCAUGGAGACCUGGUCCCACCUUCGCCUCCCAUCACCCUCUCUCUGGUGCAGCAAACUAGGAUUUUAGCGUGUGGGAGUGGGGUUACUUACCUGCGCAGAACUCACCGCUCCAUGAAGAGACACCAUUCCCAGCACCAGGUGGGACAGGACUGUGCUCCACUCACUCCCGGGCUUGGGGGCCAUGGCACUUGGGCAGUAAUGAGUUUGAGGAGACAGGAAAGAGAGUUUUAACUUGGAGUGGAGUAACAGAAGUCAGGGACCUGGAGCCCUAACGGCAGCUCUGCGGGAACCCCAGGUUCCAGGGUCCCAUGACUAGAUGAUAGAAUAGGUACAGUUCUAAAUUUGCCAGAGUCCCAAGGCCACUGGAAACACCUGUGCUAAAAGACUAAUUAGACUGGAAACAGCGGGAACAAAACUCGGGAGCUGGGCAGGGCGAGCAUGAGCUCAAGUAGGUGCAGGACGCGGGGGAGACCGAGCGGCGGGGCACGCAGGCCCUUGUGGCGGCCUGGGCCUAUCCCAGCACUCAGGGAAGCGCCGUCCUCGACACCCGGCCCGGAAGGACCCACGGCGCAGAUCUGUGGGCCGCCAGCCGUUCGCAGUUCUUGACGGCGGCGAGCCAGAGGCCCUGGCAGGUCCACAGCGGUCGGCCCCGCCGCCUCGGGUGGCCUCCGGAGGCCCAGGCGAGCGCGGCCGAGCGCCGCCACCAGCGAGAGGAGUCGAGGCUAGAGAGGCCGGGGCGGGGCCUGAGGGGGUCGGUCGAAGGCUCUAGGAGGACUCGAAGGCGCGAGGUCGGCACCAGCAUCAGGAGCUCGGCCUGGGCUAGUUUGUGGGCGCUGGCAUUUGGAAGGAGCUCGCCUAGCGGAGGGAUCUAGGCGGGGCUUGGG